Aquila chrysaetos chrysaetos is the source of this 1449-nucleotide long non-coding RNA. RefSeq lists it as uncharacterized. The record is from RefSeq and is a predicted model, not a curated record. NCBI's taxonomy places the organism in Eukaryota, Metazoa, Chordata, Aves, Accipitriformes, Accipitridae. The transcript is spliced from 3 exons.
GCCUCAGCCGUGUCUUCCCUGUAGGAGAAGUCAGAGAGGCUGCGGGAUCUCUGUCCUUGGAGGUUUUCAAAGUCUGGCUGGAGAAAGCUCUGAGCACCGGGCUCUGAAUUCAUUCCUGACCCCACUCCACGUAGAAGUUUGGACUAGAAGCUACCCACGUCCCUGCAAACUGCAAUGCCUCUGUGGCCUAGGAAUUAGUAAUGUUUUACAUUUGGCUUUACAUGGGCAGAGUAGCUACACGUACAAGUGAAUUCCUGAUGAAUCCAGAGGGCUCACGCUCUCAGCUGCCAGGUUACACGUGUGCUAGGAAAGCAACGUAGUGCAGCAGCUCCAUUAGUCCACCGCAGGUGGCCACCUGUACGAGCUACGAACACCGUGACAGAAGCCCCAGAGCAUAGCAUAUUGUCCUCUUGUGUCUGGCAGCCAGGAUAAAAAGCAAAGUGUUGGCAAGUGCAUGCUCAAAAUCAAGUAAUGCAUAAAUCCGUAGUCAGGUCUCUAUAGAAAGAUCUACUUUGGCGUCUAACGCCUCACGUGACCCUGGGAAAGAUUAGUUGGGGGCGUCGGGGGUCGGGGGCAGUACAAUUGAGGCCAAAUUAGUUUAAAUGAGUUUUAACUGCGUUUUGAUUAAAUUAAAAUACUUUCAGAUAACCACAGUGAUGACUGUAAUAUGAUUAAUGAGUCAUACAAAAGCAGACUGAUCUAACUUAUUCCUAGUAGCCCCAGUUAGACCUGCAGGCUUUGAUUCAUUGUUUUUCAGGUAAAUACUCUGCUUGGAAUCAGUGUUCCCGAUUAAUUGCUGCCAAUUUCUGAUGUCGUUUCCCUGGGCGUUUUCAUAGUGCCCUCAGCAACCCGUUCUGCAACUGCUCAGUCCAGCCCUGAAGGUGGGAAGACCCUCACUGCGAGACGGUCAACUUGCAGAAAUAGCGAUGGGCUUCCCUGGCUGACCGCGUUAUUUGCCAUUCUAAGGUCUCGUGCAAUAAUUGGCCUUGCUUUGGAAAUACGGAGACGUCUGGCCUUUCCCUAGCAGGUGCUUCUGUGCAGACUCCAGUGCCCAGAUCCGUGGUGUCCAAGUGCUGAUGGAAACUUGAAUGGGAAUUUGCACGCUUCUGGGUGUGGUGCUGAAAACGCACACAAUGAUUUCCCGCAUCCAAGGGAGCACCACUGCUUCGGAGCGGGAUUUCUCCCAGUCUGAAGGCUCCAGUCCCUUUUGAUGACUUUUUUCAGGCCUUGAGGCAUGCAGGCGUGAGAGGUCGCUGAUAAAGCCAACAAAAAGUAACAUCCAGACCCUCUUCUGCCUGCAGCUGGCAGCGGCUGAAGUGGCUGCGAGUUACCACUGCUCCCAUGGUCACUGCCUAACACCUCCUGGUCUCGUAAGCUGGUUAACCUGAGCAGCUGCUCUCUACUGUCAUGACAAACAGUGUGAAGCUGCUUCAGUGUCGUCUUGCACAA